RNAcentral lists this ribosomal RNA (253 nucleotides) under uncultured bacterium. RNAcentral describes it as "partial 16S ribosomal RNA". It matches the Rfam family "Bacterial small subunit ribosomal RNA", at positions 524 to 776 of the family's 1533-position model. The record is from RNAcentral.
UACAGAGGUCUCAAGCGUUGUUCGGAAUUACUGGGCGUAAAGGGUGCGCAGGCCGCGCGGGCAGUCAAAUGUGUAAUUCAGGGGCUCAACCCCUGCACUGCGCUUGAUACUUCCGCGCUAGAACUUUGGAGAGGAGUCUGGAAUUCUCGGUGUAGCAGUGAAAUGCGUGGAUAUCGAGAAGAACACUAACGGCGUAAGCAAGACUCUGGACAAAUGUUGACGCUCAAGCACGAAGGCUAGGGUAGCGAACGGG